RNAcentral lists this long non-coding RNA (340 nucleotides) under Salvia miltiorrhiza (redroot sage). RNAcentral describes it as "long non-coding RNA (SMIL_LNC007984)". Lineage: Eukaryota; Viridiplantae; Streptophyta; Magnoliopsida; Lamiales; Lamiaceae. The record is from RNAcentral.
CCUGCUGCUGCCCGUAGUAGCUACUCUGCCCGUACGCCGGAGGAGCUCCUCCGUACGCCGGGUACCCCGACGGCGGUGCCGCAUACGACGGCUGCGGCGGCGCCCCGUAGGUGCUCGCGUACGGAAAGUCCCUGGUCCCGGGCGGCGCCAUGCCAUACGGCGGCGCAUAGUAGGGUUCCGGCGCACGAUAGCUGGGAUCGCGGACGGUGAGGGAGAUGUCGAGCUUCCCAUGCGGGCGGCCGGAGGGGCGCUUGAGGUGGAGCGUGCGGUCGGCGCGGAUGCCGAGGCCGACGUCGUCGACGACGUCGCGGAGGGGGAGGCGCGCCGAUCCGAUGAGCGG